AUUGAACGCUGGCGGCAUGCCUUACACAUGCAAGUCGAACGGCAGCACGGGAGCAAUCCUGGUGGCGAGUGGCGAACGGGUGAGUAAAGUAUCGGAACGUGCCCAGUCGUGGGGGAUAACGUAGCGAAAGUUACGCUAAUACCGCAUACGAUCUAUGGAUGAAAGCGGGGGAUCGCAAGACCUCGCGCGAUUGGAGCGGCCGAUAUCAGAUUAGGUAGUUGGUGGGGUAAAGGAUCACCAAGCCGACGCUCUGUAGCUGGUCUGAGAGGACGGCCAGCCACACUAGGAUUGAGACACGGCCGGGACUCCUACGGGAGGCAGCAGGGGGGAAUUUGGGACAAUGGGCGAAAGCCUGAUCCAGCCAUGCCGCGUGCAGGAUGAGGGCCUUCGGGUUGUAAACUGCUUUUGUACGGAACGAAAAGGUUUGGCCUAAUAAGCUGAGCUCAUGACGGUACCGUAAGAAUAAGCACCGGCUAACUACGUGCCAGCCGCCGCCGUAA
RNAcentral lists this ribosomal RNA (500 nucleotides) under uncultured bacterium. Its description in RNAcentral is "partial 16S ribosomal RNA". It matches the Rfam family "Bacterial small subunit ribosomal RNA", at positions 29 to 523 of the family's 1533-position model. The record is from RNAcentral.